UACGAAGGUCCCGAGCGUUGUUCGGAAUCACUGGGCGUAAAGGGCGCGUAGGCGGCGUGGUAAGUCAGAUGUGAAAUCCCGGGGCUCAACCCCGGAACUGCAUCCGAUACUGCCAUGCUAGAGGAUUGGAGAGGUAGCUGGAAUUCUUGGUGUAGCAGUGAAAUGCGUGGAGAUCAAGAGGAACACUCGUGGCGAAAGCGAGCUACUGGACAAUAUCUGACGCUGAGGCUCGAAGGCCAGGGUAGCGAAAGGG
This 253-nucleotide ribosomal RNA is filed under the name uncultured bacterium. RNAcentral describes it as "partial 16S ribosomal RNA". It matches the Rfam family "Bacterial small subunit ribosomal RNA", at positions 524 to 776 of the family's 1533-position model. The record is from RNAcentral.